CAAGCUUCAGAUGGAAUUUAACAAAUAGAUUAUGUGGGACCUCUGCCGCCCGGAUCGAUAUUGGUCACUAUUGGCUGGGAACUCCAGGCAAAUGACUUGACUCCAGUCAGACUACAUUUGAGGUCUUGAGUCUUGCUGGACUACCACUGUGCAAACCUGGCAACCUACCAGAACGCAGCAGACCGGCCCAGCAGAGGGCACCGCAGGUCGCGGGACACGGAGGGGAACUAGUCCAAAAAUAAAAAUAAAUAAAUAAAAUUAAAAAUAAAAAUAAAAUCUGGAUUCAAGGACUGUGUUGUUGAUGACGGUACCUGGAAGAAGACAGCGGUGUGGAAACUCUGCAGUGCAAAAACCAGCGACACAACAUCCAACUUCAUCUGUCACCGCGAAAGGAAGUGAUAGGGCCCACUGCGUCGGGCCACCUCAGCAGCCGUCUCCCCACUGCUGCUGCGGAGCCCUGGCUUCAGGUGUCGCUGAGAC
Monopterus albus (swamp eel) is the source of this 480-nucleotide long non-coding RNA. RefSeq lists it as uncharacterized. The transcript has 4 exons. Lineage: Eukaryota; Metazoa; Chordata; Actinopteri; Synbranchiformes; Synbranchidae. The record is from RefSeq and is a predicted model, not a curated record.